AUUGAACGCUGGCGGCAGGCCUAACACAUGCAAGUCGAGCGGAUGAAGGGAGCUUGCUCCUGGAUUCAGCGGCGGACGGGUGAGUAAUGCCUAGGAAUCUGCCUGGUAGUGGGGGAUAACGUCCGGAAACGGGCGCUAAUACCUCAUACGUCCUGAGGUAGAAAGUGGGGGACCUUCGGACCUCACGCUAUCAGAUGAGCCUAGGUCGGAUUCGCUAGUUGGUGGGGUAAAGGCAUACCAAGGCGACGAUCCGUAACUGGUCUGAGAGGAUGAUCAGUCACCUGGGAACUGAGAAACGGUCCAGACUACUACGGGAGGCAGCAGUGAGGAAUAUUGGCUCAUGCGUGCAGGCCUGAUACAGCCCUGCGGAGUGCAUGAAGAAGGUCUUCGGAUUGUAACGCACUUUAAGUCGGGCGCACGGGCAGUAAGUUAAUACCUUCCUGUUCUGCCGAUCCCCUGACAAUAGGCACCGGCUACUCUCGUG
This 484-nucleotide ribosomal RNA is filed under the name uncultured bacterium. Its description in RNAcentral is "partial 16S ribosomal RNA". It matches the Rfam family "Bacterial small subunit ribosomal RNA", at positions 30 to 507 of the family's 1533-position model. The record is from RNAcentral.